Molecule: long non-coding RNA, 1565 nt
Filed under: Rattus norvegicus (Norway rat)
Lineage: Eukaryota; Metazoa; Chordata; Mammalia; Rodentia; Muridae
Description: long non-coding RNA NONRATT032692
Source: RNAcentral
UCCUUUUCUCUGCAGACAAGCUGAUUCUGUUGCAGAAGGGGGACCAUGUGGUCUGCUGCCUGGAAAAAAAGCCAUGGACCUGGAAUAGGCCUGUAUUUUACAGCAUAGCUGAGUGAUUGACUCACUGCUCUAACCUAGGGUUACGUUGCUUAACCUCAUGAGGCUUGUUGUCCGUCCAGCUGGAAAAUUCGUUACUGAACACCUUUUGGAAAUUCGGACAAAGAAAACCACAGCUUUUCUCACCAAGCUUGGACCCCCCAGAAUUUCCCUAAAGAAUUACAAAGCACGUGAUCCAGAAGCCCCUUCAAUGCCAGCUACGAUCCAUCCGGAAGAAGAGGAGCGAUUCUUAAGUUGACAGAAGUCAAGUCUUGGCAAGAGUAUGUCUCCUCCCUCUCACAGUGCUGAUAUCCUUCCUGGACCGAAACAGUGGCAGCAGCUUCCUUCUCUCAGGGUUAGCCUCACAGACUCCGGCGAGGCGCUAAGGGACCCAUGCAUUAGCCUGCAGCGCCACCUAGCAGACGCAGAGUGAACUUGGGAAAUAAGGAGAAAGCAGGUUUAGUUGGGGAAGUUGUUUUGUAACAUCGCAAAAGGGAGUUUCCAUUUCUUCAACGGGAGUUCUGGGAAAUGGGAUUUGUAUAAAAUCUUUUUUGCUCAGCGUGGAAAAACAUUUAUUUGAAGCUAAUGAGGGAAUUUUGCCCAAAGGCAAGUCUAAUCCAAACUUAGGGAGACAAGCAUUUGUUUCUCCAAACUUCACUCUCAUUUUUGGUCACCUCUGUGGCAGUGGAGAACUCGACUCCACUUUGUGAGAGACCAUGAAGUCAAUGACGAGCCAGUCUUCAUGCAAGGAGCUCUCAGAGGCUCAUGGGGAUGGCUAGCCUUGAUGGCUCUCUUGAUUAGGAUGAAUUGCCGAGGAGACCAGUAAAGCAUUUUGUUUUACUUCUGUGAAGGCGUUUUCAGAUAGGAUUGACUAAUGGGGAAAACUAAGUGUGUGUAGCACUGUAUGUAGGCUGGGAGCCCCGAGGGACUGAAAUUAGGAGGAGUCCCUCAUCCUCAGCCUGACUGCCAUGCUGUGCCAAUCCUGUUCUACCAUACCCUUCUGUCAAGAAGCUAUACCAGUCACGGACCCAGAAACACUGAAGGGGGCCCACCAGGAACUGAAAACAUAGGCCAAAACAACCCACACUCCCUCAUAUUGACCAUCCCCACCCCCAGCUACUUGUCACAGCAGCUAAAAGACAAGGGUAAAAGAUGAACGUAUUUGAAGCCUAUGUUUUUGACACUCAGCUCCUGAAGCUGACUGGGAAUCAGGCUAAACAAUAGACAAUCAGGAAUAGCUGACUAAUCAAAUGAUAAUUCGGGAUAACCAAUGGAUCAACCAUCAAUCAGGGAUAGCUGACCAGCUGGUAAUGACAAUCGAAGCUAUUUCCAUUGUGAUCAUUUUCAAAGCCCCACCCCACCCCUGAUUCAUGUCCGUGAACUUCCUAGAAUGGUCUCACAGGAACAAGAUAUUUUUCUUUUGUCUAACUUGAGAGCAAAGAGCCUAUCAUCCCAUGAACACUAGCAAC